UGAGGCAGGUUCCCAGUCUCAUUAACAGUGUAAAUAGCCCCAGUGGCUGCGUUGCAGCCAGGCAGCAGCACUCCACUGCUCUCCAGUUAUCGCAGGAAUUGUCAUAAAGGAACUCCAACUGCCUCUCAGUGCAAGAGUGGGACUAUCCCAGAACUAGACCCAAUUCCUCGUGGGGGAGUUAAAUGAGGAUUGGGCAUUCCUUGAGUUCCUGGGCAUGGAGAGCAGCAAAACAAAUAAGAACGUUCAGAGAACUUGAAGUCAGGUGCAGAAGAUCAGGCAUAUUCUGGAGUCCUCUGUCUGCCUCUGUGCUUCCAAAUAAAAUAAUCCUGUCACAGUAUUUCCCCUGUUGCUCUGCUCACAUAAGAGAAGCUCUUUGUAAACAUCUGCAAGCAUCCUGCUCCACAGCUCCCUUUGAGAUCUCCUGUGCUAGAAAGGCUGCAAAAACUUGACAAGAAGGAGACAGUGGGUGAUUUAGUAUCAGCACUGCCUCCCCUGCUGAGCAGGAUGUUCUCGGAGGCUUUGGUGAUCCCUUUGUUUUUCCUGUCUCCACCUGUUGUAUAUUGCAUGGGCUCUCAGGAGGAAAGAAGCCAUCUUUUCUUGUUGUUGUUAUUGGUUUAUUCGACAGCGGGGACAGCCAGCUUCUGAUCCCAUGGCUGUAGCUCCACGUAUUAUUCAAGUACAGCUAAAUAAAUAUGCACUGGGGAUAUUCGGGAAGGAAGCAUGUGGCUCUUGUAAAGCGUUCCCAGUCCCUCUUAGAAGUACUUGGAGACAUUUUCUUUAUGGCUGUUGUCAGAUGUGGAAGCAAAUGAGGA
Molecule: non-coding RNA, 812 nt
Organism: Meleagris gallopavo (turkey)
Lineage: Eukaryota; Metazoa; Chordata; Aves; Galliformes; Phasianidae
Source: RefSeq, a predicted model, not a curated record